UAGCCUAUGGGAUUCUUGCUCAGGUAGA
Molecule: non-coding RNA, 28 nt
Filed under: Rattus norvegicus (Norway rat)
Lineage: Eukaryota; Metazoa; Chordata; Mammalia; Rodentia; Muridae
Source: RNAcentral